ACUCAAAGGAAUUGACGGGGGCCCGCACAAGCGGCGGAGCAUGUUGCUUAAUUCGACGCAACGCGAAGAACCUUACCAAGGCUUGACAUGCAGGGAAAAGCCGUAGAGAUACGGUGUCCGUAAGGGUCCUGCACAGGUGGUGCAUGGCUGUCGUCAGCUCGUGUCGUGAGAUGUUGGGUUAAGUCCCGCAACGAGCGCAACCCUUGUCCCAUGUUGCCAGCGGGUAAUGCCGGGGACUCAUGGGAGACUGCCGGGGUCAACUCGGAGGAAGGUGGGGAUGACGUCAAGUCAUCAUGCCCCUUAUGUCUUGGGCUGCAAACAUGCUACAAUGGCCGGUACAAAGGGCUGCGAAGCCGCAAGGCGAAGCGAAUCUCAGAAAGCCGGUCUCAGUUCGGAUUGGGGUCUGCAACCCGACCCCAUGAAGCCGGAGUCGCUAGUAAUCGCGGAUCAGCAAUGCCGCGGUGAAUACGUUCCCGGGCCUUGUACACACCGCCCGU
RNAcentral lists this ribosomal RNA (497 nucleotides) under uncultured bacterium. RNAcentral's name for it is "bacterial SSU rRNA". It matches the Rfam family "Bacterial small subunit ribosomal RNA", at positions 899 to 1397 of the family's 1533-position model. The record is from RNAcentral.